AUUGACUGUAAGGUGUUUGCAAAAUUCCUGUUCUACAGUCUACACAUUCCUGCCUGCACAGAAUAAAGCAAUAUGUCAACGGUGUGAAUAAAAUGAAAGUCAAUUUGUGGAAUUACUAUUGUUUCUUAGGUGCUUUAGGGAUGGUAGAUAUAUUAGUUUCCCUGUUGAUUUUCUAGCAUAGAGUUAAAAGAAAUAAAGAAUACAAAGCUGAAGUUCAAACCUUAAUCAGAAAACCAAAAUUAUGUGGCUAGCUAGCCUUGAUUUUCCAUGUUUAAGAUCAAAGAGCACACCUGCAACCCGAAUACAUUGGAAGUGAUGUAUCCGCUGGCUUUAGCUUAUUUUCUCAGUGCUUACUUCCUAAGAACUAAAACACGAAGACUUUAACAAUGGCCAACAACAAUGAAUAAGAACAAUAAGUUACAGGUUUGAUUGCACUUUCAUUUUGAUUGCUAGAAUUCUGUAUAUUUGAAGCAUUAAUCCUAAAACAAAUAAAACCCAAAGAAAAAUGAUCUAAUAACAAAAGAUAAAUGUUGGCAGAUAAAAUUAACUGAAAAU
RNAcentral lists this unclassified non-coding RNA (555 nucleotides) under Hevea brasiliensis (rubber tree). The record is from RNAcentral. Lineage: Eukaryota; Viridiplantae; Streptophyta; Magnoliopsida; Malpighiales; Euphorbiaceae.